UACGUAGGCAGCGAGCGUUGUUCGGAAUUACUGGGCGUAAAGAGUGUGUAGGCGGUGUUCCCAGUCUGUUGUGAAAUCUCCCGGCUUAACUGGGAGGGUGCAGCGGAAACUAGAAUGCUAGAGGGUGGGAGAGGUAAGCGGAAUUCCUGGUGUAGCGGUGAAAUGCGUAGAUAUCAGGAAGAACACCCGUGGCGAAGGCGGCUCUCUGGGACGGUACUGACGCUGAGACGCGAAAGCGUGGGGAGCGAACAGG
This 253-nucleotide ribosomal RNA is filed under the name uncultured bacterium. RNAcentral's name for it is "partial 16S ribosomal RNA". It matches the Rfam family "Bacterial small subunit ribosomal RNA", at positions 524 to 776 of the family's 1533-position model. The record is from RNAcentral.